This 539-nucleotide long non-coding RNA is filed under the name Micromonas pusilla. RNAcentral describes it as "long non-coding RNA (MPUS_LNC000022)". Lineage: Eukaryota; Viridiplantae; Chlorophyta; Mamiellophyceae; Mamiellales; Mamiellaceae. The record is from RNAcentral.
CCUAAACCCUAAACCCUAAACCCUAAACCCUAAACCCUAAACCCUAAACCCUAAACCCUAAACCCUAAACCCUAAACCCUAAAACCCUAAACCCUAAACCCUAAACCCUAAACCCUAAACCCUAAACCCUAAACCCUAAACCCUAAACCCUAAACCCUAAACCCUAAACCCUUUUCUUUCCUCCGUCCAGAAAAGAUACGGGACUCGGUUUCUGGUUUAUAGACCGUCAUUUCGGACUCGAUGCGCGAAAAAUUUUAGACUGGUUUCCAUACAAAUCUAACAAAUCGCGAAGUACGGGAGCAACGUGCGAGUAGAACUCGUGUUCAGUUCUUCAUGCGCCGCGCGUCGCGGCCGCGUUCCGCGGCGCCAUGACGCCGUGCGGGAGCUUGUACUGGUUCCCGCCGUUCUCGAGAUAGAUCGUUUGCGCGACCUGAUACUUGAUCGCCCAAAACUUCUCGACGCGGUCCGCGGAGUGAUACGAGGCGUACUUCGCGUCGAUGCGCUCCUUCAGCUCUUCGAGCGUCCUGAAGUAANNNNNN